UGGGGAAUUUUGCACAAUGGGGGAAACCCUGAUGCAGCGACGCCGCGUGAUUUAGAAGGCCUUCGGGUUGUAAAAAUCUUUUCUAUGGGAAGAAAAUGACAGUACCAUAGGAAUAAGGACUGGCUAAUUACGUGCCAGCAGCCGCGGUAAUACAUAAGGUCCGAGCGUUGUCCGGAAUCAUUGGGCGUAAAGGGUACGUAGGCGGGUAGCAAGUUAGAAGUGAAAUCCUAUAGCUCAACUAUAGUAAGCUUUUAAAACUGCUCAUCUUGAGGUAUGGAAGGGAAAGUGGAAUUCCUAGUGUAGCGGUGAAAUGCGCAGAUAUUAGGAGGAAUACCGGUGGCGAAGGCGACUUUCUGGCCAUAACCUGACGCUGAGGUACGAAAGCGUGGGUAGCAAACAGG
Molecule: ribosomal RNA, 401 nt
Filed under: bacterium
Lineage: Bacteria
Description: partial 16S ribosomal RNA
Rfam family: Bacterial small subunit ribosomal RNA
Source: RNAcentral